This is a long non-coding RNA of Lucilia cuprina (Australian sheep blowfly), 2439 nucleotides long. RefSeq lists it as uncharacterized. Lineage: Eukaryota; Metazoa; Arthropoda; Insecta; Diptera; Calliphoridae. The record is from RefSeq and is a predicted model, not a curated record. The transcript is spliced from 3 exons.
UCAAUGCAAUCAAUACGUAGUUUCUAAAACAAAAGUUUCUAUGUGUAGACAUUAAUGAAACUUCAAAAUAUAAUUCAGAAACAGUUUCUUAAUACUACGUUCACACCUUCGUGUUUUUUGAAACACAUCAUGUUUUUUCAAAAAACACUUCAAAUUCGAGUCGUUUUCCCAUAUAUUUUUCAAGUUCAAAAACAUCUUAAUUCGACAAGUUUAAUUCUAAAACACAUACGUCUUAUUGUAAUUUAAGUGAAAAUCUAAAUUUUUAAAACAAAAUGUGUUACGGUCUCAGUACCGGUCGUCAAACUAAACCGGCCCUACUAACUUCUGCGGCUUCUUCUCGGGGAGUAGUUCUCAACCCUGAUACGACUGAGUCACGUACAAAAUUAUUAAGAGUAUCAAAACCAACAACUUACAAACAAUCAAAUUAUUUUGAGCAAAUAUAAAUAGGGAGAUAGAUGUACACCUCCAAUCGCCCUUACCGCCGCAUAGUCUCCAACACAUCUUCCAUUACGGACCCCGUUACCCAUCUCUUUCCGCCUUAUCUAGAUCAACAAUCCCCAAAAUUAAUACACUCACUCAAUGUUUUUCAUCAUCACUUAUAAUAUUAAAACAUUUAUUAACACAAAUAACUUAAAAUUAGACUAUAUCUAUCCAUAUUAAAAAUUUGCGUUAAUAAAGAUAAGUUUUUAACUUUCUUCAAAUUUAAAACUAAAAAAAUAAUAACUACAAAUAACAUUAAAAUAAAUACGAUUAUAACUUAAUAAUAACAUAAAUUUAUUUAGACAUACACAUAGAUAAAAACCCAACACUAUUAACUAAAGGAUUGGACUUAUUCUGGAAAUGGCUUUUCACUUUAAUUAAGCCGAAUUUAUUACCGAAUUCUAUCUACCCUAAAAGUGCUCUCUGAAGGAUCAGAUAUUAAUAUUAGCAUUAACUAUGCUUGGCGAGGAAUAAUUUAUUUUACCUAUUAGUGCAAACCCUUGUACACUCAGAACAUAAAAGAAAACACGGUCACAAUUUAUUAUCUUAAACUAUCUUAAUCUACCCUAUUAAAUCUUAUAUUAUUUGUUUUUUUUUUUUGUAUUUUAUCUUAUCUUAUUACUACCCUGACACGGAAAACAGUUUUACGAUAUUGACAGUGAAAAUUUUCUUACUGGGGCGAUACCUAAAAGCUCACACCAGAAUUUAUAGGUUUGUGCAUUGGAACACCCUAGACAAUUUUCGGAGUUAUCAGUAUGUUCUUUCGGAAUUUUUGUAUGCCACUUAUUAACAGAAGCUUUUCUACUAUUGUUUGCAGAGAAUUUCCAAUAACAGCUAACAAUUUCCCUUAUUCUUAUUUCGGGAUGCCACUUCUGCCCACUAGACUUCAUAUAUUCGUUACCUUUUUAUGUUUUUUAAAUCGCAAUUUAAAAUCUUCAGCCAUUAGACCUUGAAUAAAAUCUUCAGCCGUUAGUCCUUGAUAAAAAUCUUCAGCCACUAGUCCUUGAUUAAAAUCUUCAGCCGCUGGUCCUUGCUGACGUUCGGUGUUUUCCACAAUAUUCCGUAUACCAGGGAAUUUCUAACAGACAAAAAUUAACCAUUAACACCAAAACUUCACACACUCUUUCAUUCAAAUAACAACUUACAUUGACUUUUCACUAACACUUUCUAUAAUAUUAUUUUAUUUAAUUAUAAUUAUACUUUAAGUUUUUCGUUGCAAAGUUUUACUUAAUAAAAUUUAAAAUUUGACCUUUAUAGAAAACUUCAGCUAACUCCACUGAGUGCCAGUAAUUAUUUAAUUUUCAACUAUUAUUUUACUUUGCGUUAGACCUUUAACUACAAGUAUACGUAAACUUACAAAAGUAAAACCUAAGCAAAUAAAAAAAAACAAUUACCGGUGGAUAACAUUAACACAAAAAAAUGAAAAAAAACAAAACCUAUACACAAAAAACGAUACCGGUGGUUAACAUAAACACACAGUAAACAGCGGAAAGGUCAACGUACGCUCUUCUUAGACCUUAAAAUCUACCGCAUUUGCACUUCUAAACAACAGAAAAUUUUCUCUUAAAUCUGCCCACCAACAACUCUUAAGACAUAGUCUGGCAACUUCUAAUCUUAUAAAAAAGUACAACACUACAUUUUCAUCCCAUAACAAUACUUCCAGUCUGCAUAUUUAUUUGACAAACCAGAAACAAGAACAAGACAACUGACAUAACUAACCAAAACAAAUCAAAUCUAAAUAACCAUUCAAUGCUUUCCUCAAUUUUUUUCUUUUUUAAAUUACUUGUCCCAACAACACCUACAACACUUUAGGAAGAAUGUGAACAUAUAUAAAGAAAAACAAUUCAACCCCCUGACAAAACACAUCAAUGCAGAACACAACAACUAAAAGACUGGGACAUUCGCAACCGCAUUCGUGAAGCAAAUUCAACCCGCAACAAAUGUUUAAGUCGGAAAAAC